CCCUUAGAUGUCCUGGGCCGCACGCGCGCUACACUGAGUGUCUGAGAUACGAGUCUGCCUGGUCCGGCAAGGUCUAGGUAAUCGCUAAAAGACACAUCAUGCUUGGGAUAGAUUAUUGCAAUUAUUAAUCUUGAACGAGGAAUUCCUAGUAAGCGCAAGUCAACAGCUUGCGUUGAUUACGUCCCUGCCCUUUGUACACACCGCCCGUCGCUACUACUGAUUGGAUGUUUAAGCGAGGUUCUCGAACUGCUAGCGACUUAGCUUCGGUGAGGUCGCAGUGUGGGAAGUGAACCUAGCUUUGGUGUCUAGAGGAAGUAAAAGUCGUAACA
RNAcentral lists this ribosomal RNA (329 nucleotides) under uncultured eukaryote. RNAcentral describes it as "partial 18S ribosomal RNA". It matches the Rfam family "Eukaryotic small subunit ribosomal RNA", at positions 1470 to 1796 of the family's 1831-position model. The record is from RNAcentral.